GGUAUGUUUAAGCGGCAUCGCUUUUACAUUAAAGGCUACGGUACAGGAUGACUAUGCGUCCCAUUAGUUAGUUGGUAAGGUAACGGCUUACCAAGGCAGCGAUGGGUAGGGGCCCUGAGAGGGGGAUCCCCCACACUGGUACUGAGACACGGACCAGACUCCUACGGGAGGCAGCAGUGAGGAAUAUUGGACAAUGGGCGGGAGCCUGAUCCAGCCAUGCCGCGUGCAGGAAGACGGUCCUAUGGAUUGUAAACUGCUUUUGUACGGGAAGAACAAGGGGCACGUGUGCCCUUCUGACGGUACCGUAAGAAUAAGGAUCGGCUAACUCCGUGCCAGCAGCCGCGGUAAUACGGAGGAUCCGAGCGUUAUCCGGAAUCAUUGGGUUUAAAGGGUCCGUAGGCGGGCCAUUAAGUCAGGGGUGAAAGUCUGCGGCUCAACCGUAGAAUUGCCCUUGAUACUGGUGGUCUUGAGUUAUGGUGAAGUAACUAGAAUAUGUAGUGUAGCGGUGAAAUGCAUAGAUAUUACAUAGAAUACCGAUUGCGAAGGCAGGUUACUAACCAUAUACUGACGCUGAUGGACGAAAGCGUGGGGAGCGAACAGGAUUAGAUACCCUGGUAGUCCACGCCGUAAACGAUGGAUACUAGCUGUCCGGAUGCAAAUCUGGGCGGCCAAGCGAAAGUGAUAAGUAUCCCACCUGGGGAGUAC
Molecule: ribosomal RNA, 705 nt
Filed under: Arenibacter sp. TBL_36
Lineage: Bacteria; Pseudomonadati; Bacteroidota; Flavobacteriia; Flavobacteriales; Flavobacteriaceae
Description: bacterial SSU rRNA
Rfam family: Bacterial small subunit ribosomal RNA
Source: RNAcentral